GACGAACGCUGGCGGCGUGCCUAAUACAUGCAAGUCGAGCGGACAGAUGGGAACUUGCUCCCGGAAGUCAGCGGCGGACGGGUGAGUAACACGUGGGCAACCUGCCUGUAAGACUGGGAUAACUUCGGGAAACCGGAGCUAAUACCGGAUACGUUCUUUUCUCGCAUGAGAGAAGAUGGAAAGAUGGUUUCGGCUAUCACUUACAGAUGGGCCCGCGGCGCAUUAGCUAGUUGGUGAGGUAAUGGCUCACCAAGGCGACGAUGCGUAGCCGACCUGCGAGGGUGAUCGGCCACACUGGGACUGAGACACGGCCCAGACUCCUACGGGAGGCAGCAGUAGGGAAUCUUCCGCAAUGGACGAAAGUCUGACGGAGCAACGCCGCGUGAACGAUGAAGGCCUUCGGGUCGUAAAGUUCUGUUGUUAGGGAAGAACAAGUACCAGAGUAACUGCUGGUACCUUGACGGUACCUAACCAGAAAGCCACGGCUAACUACGUGCCAGCCGCCGCGGUAA
This 512-nucleotide ribosomal RNA is filed under the name uncultured bacterium. RNAcentral describes it as "partial 16S ribosomal RNA". It matches the Rfam family "Bacterial small subunit ribosomal RNA", at positions 28 to 523 of the family's 1533-position model. The record is from RNAcentral.